UACGUAGGGUGCGAGCGUUGUCCGGAUUUAUUGGGCGUAAAGGGCUCGUAGGCGGCGUGUCGCGUCGGGGAGUGAAAGCCCGCUGCUUAACGGCGGGUUGGCUUCCGGUACGGGCAUGCUGGAGUGUGGCAGGGGAGACUGGAAUUCCUGGUGUAGCGGUGGAAUGCGCAGAUAUCAGGAGGAACACCGGUGGCGAAGGCGGGUCUCUGGGCCGAUACUGACGCUGAGGCACGAAAGCGUGGGGAGCAAACAGG
RNAcentral lists this ribosomal RNA (254 nucleotides) under uncultured bacterium. RNAcentral describes it as "partial 16S ribosomal RNA". It matches the Rfam family "Bacterial small subunit ribosomal RNA", at positions 524 to 776 of the family's 1533-position model. The record is from RNAcentral.